CAUGGAGAUAGCAAUCAAAUAUUACAUUUACUUUCUUAAAAAAGAUGGAUGUUUUUGCUUUUCUAUUUGAGAUACGAGUGUAAGUGUUUUAUAUAUUUGUUGCUUUCCAUAGACAUAAACACUGAGUUUGGUGGGUAGUGUACGCCUUGGAUGCCAGCUAUUCAAGAGGGUAAUGCAGGAGGAUUGGCCCUUUGAGAUCAGUCUUGAGAACUUAGGGAGACCAUGUCUCAAAAUUAAAAGUAGAUAGGGAUACGGAUGUUGCUAGUUAUAAAUCUGUAAUUAGUCCCUAGAUUCAAUCCCUAGUACUAGACAAAUCCCACUGACUGUGAAUACUUUUAUCCAUUAAGUAGUGGAUCUUUAUCUUUUAAAACUAAAUGAAUAAAAAUGGGAAACAUAGAAGUUUAAAAUCAUUGACUUCUAGUUAAAUUCAUCUUCAGCCUACAAAAGAAGGUCCUUGGGACACAUGUAUUCAGUUUCUUGAAACCCAUAUUUUCCAGAUAUGGGUUUGAAUUGCAGGCAGUCACUUCUGAGAAGGUAUCCUAGUGAAGGAGGAGGAAUAUGUAGUUAUUUUCCCAGUGUGUGGCCCAGGCCAGGGAGAGCAUUGAAUUUUCUUCCCAAAGUACCUUAUACUGGGAAUAUGCACACCUUUACUCCUGAACCAUUCAGGUGGACAGACCACUGGGCAGCAUGUGGAAAGUAUGCUACAGGACAUGUUUUAGCCAUUUUGCAUUUUUCUAACAUGUUUUAGCCAUUUUGCUUCCUUUUUUCUCACAAUAGUAAACUUUAACCCUUCGAAACACAUAUGACUAUCUAUUAUAGGAGCCUUUUGUUCUUACACUUUCACCUAAGACAUGCCAUGCAUACAUGUCCUGCAGGAUUGAAAAAGUUUUCUUUUUCACAAAUUAACAACACAAAGUAUUGGUAUUCUAUAUUUCUAUUGGGGAUGUUUUUGGGUCUUCAGAUGUUGCUGAAAAAGUGAACCAUACUUUAUUUCCUUUCCAUCUAGAUGCACCAUCAUCUAUAAAUACACAAGAGUCAAAUAAAUACAAAUUGAGUGACUGUAAGAAUUUGGUAAGUUCUAAAAGAACAGAAUGAUUAGAAGAGACUCAAUCUCUAGAAUGCUGAGGAAAGUCUACUGCAAUUCCCUAUUAUGUCAUUUUGUUUUGAUUUGGCCACUGAUACACAACAAUGACAAUGUGUCUUUUUAUGUUGAUUGACACACUUGGUACCAAUUUGUCCUGUAACAGUUGUUUUAACCUCAUUUACUUGAUGUAAAUGCUGUCUGCUGGAUUUUGCUAUAAGUUAAAUUUUUCUCUUUGUAUUUAGGUAUCUUGGUAAGAUUUUUCUAAAUAAUCUAAAUAAACCACUAUCUUUAAAAAGAAACCUUUCUUUCUUAAUAACUUUUUACUCCCUUCCCCUCCCAUCCUUCUGCCCUAUCUAGAGUUUGUCUAUUUCUCCCAUGCUCCCUCUCUCUAUCCCACUAUGAAUCAGCCUCCUUAUAUCAGAAAAAAAAAAAAAAAACAUUUGGCAUUUGGUUUUUUGGGAUUGACUAACUUCACUUAGCAUUAUCUUCUCUAACUCCAUCCAUUUCCCUGAAAAUGCCAUGAUUUUAUUCUCUUUUAUUGCUGAGUAAUAUUCCAUUGUGUAUAUAUGCCACAUUUUUUUAAUCCAUUCAUCUAUUGAAGGGCAUCAAGGUUCCACAGUUUAUCUAUUGUGAAUUGUGCUGCUAUAAACAUUGAUGUGGCUGUGUCUCUGUAGUAUGCUGUUUUUAAGUGCUUUGGGUAUAAACCGAGGAGAGGAUAGCUGGGUCAAAUGGUGGUUCCAUUCUGGAUUUUCCCAGAAAUCUCCACACUACUUUCCAUAUUUGCUGCACCAAUUUGCAGUCCCACCAACAAUUUUUGAGUGUACCUUUCCCACGACAUCCCCACCAACACUUAUUGUUGUUUGUCUUCAUAAUAGCUGCCAUUCUGUCUGGAGUGAGAUGAAAUCUUAGAGUGGUUUUGAUUUGCAUUUCUCUAAUUGCUAGUGAUGAUGAACAUUUUUUUCAUAUAUUUGUUGAUUGAUUGUAUAUCCUCUUCUGAGAAGUGUCUGUUCAGGUCCUUAGUCCAUUUCUUGAUUGGGUUAUUUGCUUUUUGGUGCUUAGCUUUUUGAGUUCUUUAUAUACCCUAGAGGUUAGUGCUCUAUCUGAUGUGUGAGGGGGUAAAGAUUUGCUCCCAAGAUGUAGGCUCUCUAUUCACCUCACAGAUUGUUUCUUUUACUGAGAAGAAACUUUUUAGUUUGAGUCCAUUCCAUUUAUAGAUUUUUGAUUUUAAUUCUUUGCCACAGGAGUCUUAUUAAGGAAGUUGGGGAUUAGGGCCUACUUUUUCUUCUAUUAGACACAGAGUCUCUGGUUAUAUUCCUAAGUUCUUGAUCCAUUUUGAGUUGAGUUUUGUUCAUGGUGAGAGAUUAGGGUUUAAUUUCAUUUUGUUGCAUAUAGAUUUCCAGUUUUCUGAACACCAUUUGUUGAAGAGGCUGUCUUUUCUCCAGUGCAUGUUCUUGGCACCUUUGUCCAAUAUAAGAUAAUUGUAGUUUUGUGGGUUAGUCUUUG
Molecule: long non-coding RNA, 2587 nt
Filed under: Marmota monax (woodchuck)
Lineage: Eukaryota; Metazoa; Chordata; Mammalia; Rodentia; Sciuridae
Source: RNAcentral